This 59-nucleotide transfer RNA is filed under the name Streptococcus danieliae. RNAcentral's name for it is "tRNA-OTHER". It matches the Rfam family "tRNA". From Rfam's summary of the family: Transfer RNA (tRNA) molecules are approximately 80 nucleotides in length. Their secondary structure includes four short double-helical elements and three loops (D, anti-codon, and T loops). Lineage: Bacteria; Bacillati; Bacillota; Bacilli; Lactobacillales; Streptococcaceae. The record is from RNAcentral.
UGGGAAGUAGCUCAGUGGAAGAGCCGUCUAAGUCGCAGGUUCGAUUCCUGCCUUCCUAA